Molecule: ribosomal RNA, 1150 nt
Filed under: uncultured Halomonas sp.
Lineage: Bacteria; Pseudomonadati; Pseudomonadota; Gammaproteobacteria; Oceanospirillales; Halomonadaceae
Description: bacterial SSU rRNA
Rfam family: Bacterial small subunit ribosomal RNA
Source: RNAcentral
AAGUCGAACGGUAACAUUUCUAGCUUGCUAGAAGAUGACGAGUGGCGGACGGGUGAGUAAUGCUUGGGAACUUGCCUUUGCGAGGGGGAUAACAGUUGGAAACGACUGCUAAUACCGCAUAAUGUCUUCGGACCAAACGGGGCUUCGGCUCCGGCGCAAAGAGAGGCCCAAGUGAGAUUAGCUAGUUGGUAAGGUAACGGCUUACCAAGGCGACGAUCUCUAGCUGUUCUGAGAGGAAGAUCAGCCACACUGGGACUGAGACACGGCCCAGACUCCUACGGGAGGCAGCAGUGGGGAAUAUUGCACAAUGGGGGAAACCCUGAUGCAGCCAUGCCGCGUGUGUGAAGAAGGCCUUCGGGUUGUAAAGCACUUUCAGUUGUGAGGAAAAGUUAGUAGUUAAUACCUGCUAGCCGUGACGUUAACAACAGAAGAAGCACCGGCUAACUCCGUGCCAGCAGCCGCGGUAAUACGGAGGGUGCGAGCGUUAAUCGGAAUUACUGGGCGUAAAGCGCGCGUAGGUGGCUUGAUAAGCCGGUUGUGAAAGCCCCGGGCUCAACCUGGGAACGGCAUCCGGAACUGUCAGGCUAGAGUGCAGGAGAGGAAGGUAGAAUUCCCGGUGUAGCGGUGAAAUGCGUAGAGAUCGGGAGGAAUACCAGUGGCGAAGGCGGCCUUCUGGACUGACACUGACACUGAGGUGCGAAAGCGUGGGUAGCAAACAGGAUUAGAUACCCUGGUAGUCCACGCCGUAAACGAUGUCGACCAGCCGUUGGGUGCCUAGCGCACUUUGUGGCGAAGUUAACGCGAUAAGUCGACCGCCUGGGGAGUACGGCCGCAAGGUUAAAACUCAAAUGAAUUGACGGGGGCCCGCACAAGCGGUGGAGCAUGUGGUUUAAUUCGAUGCAACGCGAAGAACCUUACCUACUCUUGACAUCCUGCGAAUUUGGUAGAGAUACCUUAGUGCCUUCGGGAACGCAAAGACAGGUGCUGCAUGCUGUCGUCAGCUCGUGUUGUGAAUGUGGGUUAAGUCCCGUAACGAGCGCAACCUUGUCUUAUUUGCCAGCGCGUAAUGGCGGUAACUCUAGGAACUGCGUGACAACGGAGGUAGGUGGGACGGACGUCAGUCAUCAUGCCCUUACGAGUAGGGCUACAC